UACAUGCAAGUCGAGGGGCAGCGGAUCCCUCCGGGGNAUGCCGGCGACCGGCGAACGGGUGANUAACACGUAUGGAACCUACCCUUAACUGGGGGAUAGCCCCGAGAAAUCGGAGUUAAUACCCCAUAUUAUAAUAAAGGGGCAUCCCUUUAUUAUGAAAGCUCCGGCGGUUAAGGAUGGCCAUGCGGUCCAUUAGCUUGUUGGUGAGAUAAAAGCUCACCAAGGCCACGAUGGAUAGCUGAUCUGAGAGGAUGAUCAGCCACAUUGGCACUGAGACACGGGCCAAACUCCUACGGGAGGCAGCAGUAGGGAAUCUUGGUCAAUAGGCGAAAGCCUGAACCAGCCAUGCCGCGUGCAGGAUGAAGGCCCUACGGGUCGUAAACUGCUUUUAUUCGGGAAGAAAAAGUCUGUGUCCACAGACCUUGACGGUACCGAAUGAAUAAGGACCGGCCAACUCCGUGCCAGCAGCCGCGGUAAUACGGAGGGUCCAAGCGUUAUCCGGAUUCACUGGGUUUAAAGGGUGCGCAGGCGGUCUGGUAAGUCAGUGGUGAAAGCCUUCGGCUCAACCGGAGAAUUGCCAUUGAAACUACUAGACUUGAGUGUAGUUGAGGUGGGCGGAAUGUACCAUGUA
RNAcentral lists this ribosomal RNA (631 nucleotides) under uncultured bacterium. Its description in RNAcentral is "bacterial SSU rRNA". It matches the Rfam family "Bacterial small subunit ribosomal RNA", at positions 52 to 677 of the family's 1533-position model. The record is from RNAcentral.